GGAGGGAUCAUUACCGAGUUUACAACUCCCAAACCCCAUGUGAACAUACCUGUUUCGUUCCCUCGGCGGUGUCCGGCAACGGCCCGCCAGAGGACCCAACAAACUCUUUUGAAUUUUUCAGUAUCUUCUGAGUGAAAAAAACAAUAAAUCAAAACUUUCAACAACGGAUCUCUUGGUUCUGGCAUCGAUGAAGAACGCAGCGAAAUGCGAUAAGUAAUGUGAAUUGCAGAAUUCAGUGAAUCAUCGAAUCUUUGAACGCACAUUGCGCCCGCCAGUAUUCUGGCGGGCAUGCCUGUUCGAGCGUCAUUUCAACCCUCAAGCUCAGCUUGGUGUUGGGGAUCGGCAGGGCGUCCUCCGGGUCGCGCCGUCCCCCAAAUAUAGUGGCGGUCUCGCUGUAGCUUCCUCUGCGUAGUAAUACACCUCGCACUGGAGUCUCGGCGCGGCCACGCCGUUAAACCCCCAACUUUUUCUGGUUGACCUCGAAUCAGGUAGGACUACCCGCUGAACUUAAGCAUAUCAAUAAGCGGAGGAAAAGAAACCAACAGGGAUUGCCCUAGUAACGGCGAGUGAAGCGGCAACAGCUCAAAUUUGAAAUCUGGCCCUCGGGUCCGAGUUGUAAUUUGUAGAGGAUGCUUUUGGUGAGGUGCCUUCCGAGUUCCCUGGAACGGGACGCCAUAGAGGGUGAGAGCCCCGUCUGGUUGGAUACCGAGCCUCUGUAAAGCUCCUUCGACGAGUCGAGUAGUUUGGGAAUGCUGCUCUAAAUGGGAGGUAUAUGUCUUCUAAAGCUAAAUACCGGCCAGAGACCGAUAGCGCACAAGUAGAGUGAUCGAAAGAUGAAAAGCACUUUGAAAAGAGAGUUAAAAAGUACGUGAAAUUGUUGAAAGGGAAGCGCUUAUGACCAGACUUGGACUUGGUUGAUCAUCCUGGGUUCUCCCUGGUGCACUCUUCCAGUUCAGGCCAGCAUCAGUUCGUUGCGGGGGAUAAAAGCUUUGGGAAUGUGGCUCCCUCGGGAGUGUUAUAGCCCACUGCAUAAUACCCUGCUCCGGACUGAGGUUCGCGCAUCUGCAAGGAUGCUGGCGUAAUGGUCAUCAGCGACCCGUCUUGAAACACGGACCAAGGAGUCGUCUUCGUAUGCGAGUGUUCGGGUGUCAAACCCCUACGCGUAAUGAAAGUGAACGCAGGUGAGAGCUUCGGCGCAUCAUCGACCGAUCCUGAUGUUCUCGGAUGGAUUUGAGUAAGAGCAUACGGGGCCGGACCCGAAAGAAGGUGAACUAUGCCUGUAUAGGGUGAAGCCAGAGGAAACUCUGGUGGAGGCUCGCAGCGGUUCUGACGUGCAAAUCGAUCGUCAAAUAUGGGCAUGGGGGCGAAAGACUAAUCGAACCUUCUAGUAGCUGGUUUCCGC
This 1402-nucleotide unclassified non-coding RNA is filed under the name uncultured Hypocreales. Its description in RNAcentral is "sequence contains 18S rRNA gene, ITS1, 5.8S rRNA gene, ITS2, 28S rRNA gene". The stretch from base 475 to 1402 matches the Rfam family "Eukaryotic large subunit ribosomal RNA", at positions 1 to 961 of the family's 3401-position model. The record is from RNAcentral. Lineage: Eukaryota; Fungi; Ascomycota; Sordariomycetes; Hypocreales.